UGAGAGUUUGAUCCUGGCUCAGGAUUAACGCUUGCGAUGUGCCUAAGGUAUGCAAGUCGAACGAUUCCUGUGUCUUCGGACACAGGGAGUGGCAGACGGCUGAGUAACGCGUAGGAACCUACCCCAAACUCGAGUGUAGCCCCGCGAAAGCGGGGGUAAUCCUCGAUAGUCCGUGAAGCAUCUUGCUUUACGGUAAAGCUUUUGCGGUUUGGGAUGGGCCUGCGUCCUAUCAGGUAGUUGGUGAGGUAAAUGCUCACCAAGCCUAUGACGGGUAGCUGGUCUGAGAGGAUGAUCAGCCAGACUGGGACUGCGACACGGCCCAGACUCCUACGGGAGGCAGCAACUAGGAAUUGUGCGCAAUGGACGAAAGUCUGACGCCGCGACAUCGCGUGGAGGAUGAAGGUCUUCGGAUUGUAAACUCCUUUUCUUACCGAACAAGUUCUGAGUGUAGGUAAGGAAUAAGUGCCUGCUAACCACGUGCCAGAAGCAUCGGUAAUACGUGGGGCACGAGCGUUAUCCGGAUUUACUGGGCGUAAAGAGAAGCGUAGGCGGCUCGAUAAGUUUGGUGUUAAAUCUUCCGGCUCAACCGGAAACAAGCAUCGAAAACUAUCGAGAUUGAGUCGAGUAGGGAAGAGGGGAAUUCCUGGUGGAGCGGUUAAAUGCGUAGAUAUCAGGAGGAAUACCAAGGGCGAAGGCACCUCUUUGGACUCGUACUGACGCUGAGGCUCGAAAGCGUGGGUAGCAAAACGGAUUAGAUACCCGUGUAGUCCACGCCGUAAACGAUCCCUGUUAGAUGUAUGUUUUGUCUGUUU
This 812-nucleotide ribosomal RNA is filed under the name uncultured bacterium. RNAcentral describes it as "bacterial SSU rRNA". It matches the Rfam family "Bacterial small subunit ribosomal RNA", at positions 1 to 836 of the family's 1533-position model. The record is from RNAcentral.